UCGCAUCUGUGCAUGCAGCAUAUCAAUAAGCGGAGGAAAAGAAACUAACAAGGAUUCCCUUAGUAACGGCGAGUGAAGCGGGAAGAGCUCAAAUUUGAAAUCUUCAAGGUUUUACCUUGACGAAUUGUAGUUUAAAGAAGUGUUUUCUGUUGAAGUUUUGGUAAAAGUUCUUUGGAAUAGGACAUCAUAGAGGGUGAGAAUCCCGUAUCUGACCAUUAUUUUCAGCUGUGUGAUACACUUUCAAAGAGUCGGAUUGUUUGGGAAUGCAGUCCAAAAUGGGUGGUAAAUUUCAUCUAAAGCUAAAUAUUGGCGAGAGACCGAUAGCGAACAAGUACCGUGAGGGAAAGAUGAAAAGAACUUUGAAAAGAGAGUUAAACAGUACGUGAAAUUGUCAAAAGGGAAGCGUUUGACACCAGUGUUGUUUUCUCGAAAAUCAAUUAAAAAGAGUUUGAUUUUGUUGUGUAUUGACCUUAACAGCUUGCAUUUCAAUUUUCUUGCUUUUUUUAAUGCACUUUUCGUUUAACAAGUCAACAUCAGUUUCUUUUGUUGUAAAAAGGUCAUUGGAAGGUGGCUUUCUUUUCGGAGAAAGUGUUUAUAGCCUUUGACUCCUGCAAUCGGAGAGACUGAGGUCUGCAGCGUAGAUCCUUCGGGGUUAGAUACAUUUGUGCUAAGUUAUAGCUUUUUAUAGACAACUUGUUGACUAUGAUUAGUCUUGUAGCUUACUCGCUUAUGCUAUUUUACCUACGCUUAAGGAUGUUGAUGUGAUACUGCGAGCA
RNAcentral lists this ribosomal RNA (776 nucleotides) under uncultured Neocallimastigales. RNAcentral describes it as "partial large subunit ribosomal RNA". It matches the Rfam family "Eukaryotic large subunit ribosomal RNA", at positions 24 to 629 of the family's 3401-position model. Lineage: Eukaryota; Fungi; Neocallimastigomycota; Neocallimastigomycetes; Neocallimastigales. The record is from RNAcentral.